GUGAAUCAUCAAAUUUUUGAACGCAAAUUGCGCUUCCUGGCAUCCCGGGAAGUAUGCCUGUUUGAGGGUCAGUAUUAACAAAAAAUCGGUUUGGUUGCAAAUUGUGACGUUUCCGGAGUUUGGGCUAUCUUAACUUUUUUGGUUAAGGGCUUAAAAUUGACCUUUUUUGGGCCUUUUUAGACGGACAUUAAUUUUUUUUUUUAUUUGUUUAUUUUUUAUUCCAAAAUCUUUAUUAGUGCCAAC
Molecule: unclassified non-coding RNA, 243 nt
Filed under: Glomeraceae sp.
Lineage: Eukaryota; Fungi; Glomeromycota; Glomeromycetes; Glomerales; Glomeraceae
Description: partial contains 5.8S ribosomal RNA and internal transcribed spacer 2
Rfam family: 5.8S ribosomal RNA (bases 1-71)
Source: RNAcentral